AACGAACGCUGGCGGCAUGCCUAACGCAUGCAAGUCGAACGAGACCUUCGGGUCUAGUGGCGCACGGGUGCGUAACGCGUGGGAACCUGCCCUUAGGUUCGGAAUAACUCCCCGAAAGGGGUGCUAAUACCGGAUAAUGUCUUCGGACCAAAGAUUUAUCGCCUUUGGAUGGGCCCGCGUUGGAUUAGCGAGUUGGUAGGGUAAAAGCCUACCAAGGCGAGGAUCCAUAGCUGGUGGGAGAGGAUGCUCAGCCACACUGGGACUGGGCCACGGCCCAGACCCGAGGGGGAGGGGGGGGGGGGUGAAUAUGGGGAGGGGGCCAAAGGCUGCAACGCCGAGUCCGGGGGGGUGGCGAACGCGUUGGGGUUGUAAUUCUCUUUUGCCGGGGAUGAAAAUACGGUAACGGGUAAAAAAGCACCGGGUAACCACGUG
RNAcentral lists this ribosomal RNA (432 nucleotides) under uncultured bacterium. Its description in RNAcentral is "partial 16S ribosomal RNA". It matches the Rfam family "Bacterial small subunit ribosomal RNA", at positions 28 to 507 of the family's 1533-position model. The record is from RNAcentral.